This is a long non-coding RNA of Frieseomelitta varia, 88 nucleotides long. RefSeq lists it as uncharacterized. Lineage: Eukaryota; Metazoa; Arthropoda; Insecta; Hymenoptera; Apidae. The transcript has 4 exons. The record is from RefSeq and is a predicted model, not a curated record.
ACAAAGAAAUAGCACUUCUAUUUACUGCACACGUCUUUCCUCAGAGCGUUAACAAAAACUGAUUCCUUUGUCUUCAGUCUUCGUCACU